RNAcentral lists this ribosomal RNA (427 nucleotides) under uncultured eukaryote. RNAcentral's name for it is "bacterial SSU rRNA". It matches the Rfam family "Eukaryotic small subunit ribosomal RNA", at positions 592 to 1016 of the family's 1831-position model. The record is from RNAcentral.
CAAUAGCGUAUAUUAAAGUUGUUGCGGUUAAAAGCUCGUAGUUGGAUUUCUGUCGAGGGCAGCCGGUCCGCACUUUGUGCGUGCAUCUGGUUUGGUCUUGGCAUCCUCUUGGGGAACGUUUCUGUGCUUGAUUGCAUGGGGCGAAAUUCAAGACUUUUACUUUGAGGAAAUUAGAGUGUUCACGGCAAGCUUUCGCUUUGAAUACAUUAGCAUGGAAUAAUAAUAUAGGGCGUGAGUCUUAUUUUGUUGGUUUCUAGGACAUACGCAAUGAUUAAUAGGGACAAUUAGGGGGCGAUUCGUAUUAAACGCGUCAGAGGUGGAAUUCUUAGAUUGCGUUACGACGAACUACUGCGAAAGCAUUUGUCCAAGGAUGUUUUUCUAUUGAUCAAGAACGAAAGUAAUGGGGAGUCGAAGAUGAUCAGAUACC